GAAUGUAUGACUUAAUGUGUAGAAGGUUUGGACGGUUUUCAAAAGGCUCGGGUUCAAAUCCCGUUUCGUUCA
This 72-nucleotide transfer RNA is filed under the name Heliconius melpomene (postman butterfly). RNAcentral's name for it is "tRNA HMEL010139". It matches the Rfam family "tRNA". Rfam says of the family: Transfer RNA (tRNA) molecules are approximately 80 nucleotides in length. Their secondary structure includes four short double-helical elements and three loops (D, anti-codon, and T loops). The record is from RNAcentral. Lineage: Eukaryota; Metazoa; Arthropoda; Insecta; Lepidoptera; Nymphalidae.